GUCCACGCCCUAAACUAUGGAUACUACUUAGAAGGACCUGCAAGGGUCUUUUUAACGGAGCAAAAGCGUUAAGUAUCCCGCCUGGGGAGUAUGGUCGCAAGGCUGAAACUCAAAGGAAUUGACGGGGGCUCACACAAGCGGUGGAGCAUGUUGCUUAAUUCGAUGCAACGCGAAGAACCUUACCCGGGCUCGAAAUGUACGGAUUAGCUCUAUGAAAGUAGAGUAACACCCUCGCGGGUGGAACGUAUAUAGGUGUUGCAUGGCUGUCGU
RNAcentral lists this ribosomal RNA (270 nucleotides) under uncultured bacterium. RNAcentral describes it as "partial 16S ribosomal RNA". It matches the Rfam family "Bacterial small subunit ribosomal RNA", at positions 793 to 1055 of the family's 1533-position model. The record is from RNAcentral.